AUACGAAGGGGGCUAGCGUUGUUCGGAAUCACUGGGCGUAAAGCGCGCGUAGGUGGACUAAUUAGUUGAGGGUGAAAUCCCGGGGCUCAACCUCGGAACUGCCUUCAAUACUGUUAGUCUUGAGUCCGAGAGAGGUGAGUGGAAUUCCUAGUGUAGAGGUGAAAUUCGUAGAUAUUAGGAAGAACACCAGUGGCGAAGGCGGCUCACUGGCUCGGUACUGACGCUGAGGUGCGGAAGCGUGGGGAGCAAACAGGAUUAGAAACCCUAGUAGUCC
RNAcentral lists this ribosomal RNA (274 nucleotides) under uncultured bacterium. Its description in RNAcentral is "partial 16S ribosomal RNA". It matches the Rfam family "Bacterial small subunit ribosomal RNA", at positions 523 to 796 of the family's 1533-position model. The record is from RNAcentral.